RNAcentral lists this long non-coding RNA (324 nucleotides) under Chlamydomonas reinhardtii. Its description in RNAcentral is "long non-coding RNA (CREI_LNC001050)". Lineage: Eukaryota; Viridiplantae; Chlorophyta; Chlorophyceae; Chlamydomonadales; Chlamydomonadaceae. The record is from RNAcentral.
AGGGACUGGAACUUGGCCUGGUUCGCAGAAGGCUUCGCCAUGACCGCGCGACCGUCGAGAGAACCGCGCGAGGGAGACGAGCAGGAGUUGGGCGAAGCCGUCGCCUUCACGCGCUGGCCCGAGGCCGCCUUCUGCUGCUUGGGCGGCGAGGUCCGCGGCGAGCGCUUGGGAGGCGAGGGUCGGUUGGCCUUGGGCGCCAGCGGCAGCGGGGGCGCAUCCGCGAAAUCAAAGGGUGUCAGCUCGCGGACCUUCAUCGGCUCGGCCAUGGCCGGGCGCGCCUGAGACACCGCAAUAAGGCGGUCCACCAGCUCCGACGAAUCGCCC